CUGGAGGUGAUGACACCCCUGGACUGAGCCCCGUGAUGGGUGUUGUGUUCGUACUGUCUGAUCCGG
Small nucleolar RNA from Lepidothrix coronata (blue-crowned manakin), 66 nucleotides. NCBI's taxonomy places the organism in Eukaryota, Metazoa, Chordata, Aves, Passeriformes, Pipridae. The record is from Ensembl.